CAGUAGCCACGGGAAUACAGAGGAUGCAAGCGUUAUCCGGGAUUAUUGGGCGUAAAGCGCGCGCAGGUGGUUUAAUAAGUCUGAUGUGAAAGCCCACGGCUCAACCGUGGAGGGUCAUUGGAGACUGUUAAACUUGAGUGCAGGAGAGAAAAGUGGAAUUCCUGGUGUAGCGGUGAAAUGCGUAGAGAUUAGGAGGAACACCAGUGGCGAAGGCGGCUUUUUGGCCUGUAACUGACACUGAGGCGCGAAAGCGUGGGGAGCAAACAGGAUUAGAUACCCCGGUAGUCCCUGUCUCUUAUAA
Molecule: ribosomal RNA, 301 nt
Filed under: uncultured bacterium
Lineage: Bacteria
Description: partial 16S ribosomal RNA
Rfam family: Bacterial small subunit ribosomal RNA
Source: RNAcentral